Gouania willdenowi (blunt-snouted clingfish) is the source of this 1632-nucleotide long non-coding RNA. Ensembl annotates it as nucleoporin NSP1-like. The record is from Ensembl. NCBI's taxonomy places the organism in Eukaryota, Metazoa, Chordata, Actinopteri, Blenniiformes, Gobiesocidae.
GCUUUGCAGAACAGCUUAAUGUUGGCUGCAUCACAAAGGGCUUCUAAAAACAUUCAAAGUGAGUCUAAUAUCAUCCGGUAAAUAUUGACCAGCAAGUGUCCUCAGUGAGCAACGUUUGUAACUAAGUCCUCCACAUUUGGCUUCAACUCAUACGACGACUUCUCAUUGACCAAUAUGGAGAAAAACACAGGAUGGUUUAUGUUGGGGACAAAAGCGGAUGUCACACAGAAUGCUGCUGCUUCCACCACCACCACAACGACUGAAAAUGGGUCCUCCACAUUUAGCUACAACUUACCCGGGGUCUGCUCAUUCUCCGUUCCGAUCAUCAACAAAGAUUGCUCUACGUGUGGGAGAAAAGCGGAGGUCAAACACGAUUUUGUUGGUCCCAUCAUCACCACGGCUGAAAAUGGGUCCUCCAUAUAUCGCUUCAACGCAUACGGCUGCAACUUCUCAUGCACCGUCCCAAUCAAGAAGACACAAAACUUUGGUUUUGGGCAACCAGGGCCAUCCUUCAACCCAAACACCAGCAUCCCACUUCCUAAUUUGUUCAAGCCGAGAGAAUCCUCUGCGUUUGGGCCAAAAGGGGAUGUCACACAGAAUGCUGCUGCUCCCAUCAACUUCAAAGCGACUGAGAACGGGCCAUCCACAUUAGGCUUCAACUCAAACAGCAGCUCCCCAUUCCCUAAUUUUUUCGGUCAGAGAGGACCCUCUGCGUUUGGGCCAAAAGCGGACGUCACACAGAAUGCUGCUGCUCCCACCAACUUCAGAGCGACUGAGAACGGGCCCUCCACAUUAGGCUUCGGCAGCAACCCACUUCCUAAUUUGUUCGGUCGGAGAGAACCCUCUGCGUUUGGGCCAAAAGCGGAUGUCACACAGAAUGCUGCUGCUCCCACCACCUUCACAAUGACUGCAAAUGGGCCAUCCACAUUAGGCUUCGGCAGCAACCCAUUCCCUAAUUUGUUCGGUCAGAGAGAUCCCUCUGCGUUUGGGCCAAAAGCGGAUGUCACACAGAAUGCUGCUGCUCCCACCAACUUCAGAGCGACUGAGAACGGGCCAUCCACAUUAGGCUUCAACUCAAACAGCAGGAUGACACUUGGCGAUUUCUUCAGGCAGGGAGAACCCUCUGCGUUUGGGCCAAAAGCGGAUGUCACACAGAAUGCUGCUGCUCCCACCAACUUCACAAUGACUGCAAAUGGGCCAUCCACAUUAGGCUUCAACUCAAACGGCAGCUUCCCACUUCCUGAUUUGUUCAGGCAGAGAGAACCCUCUGCGUUUGGGACAAAAGCGGAUGUCACACAGAAUGCUGCUGCUCCCACCUCCACCACAACGACUGAGAACGGGUUCUCCACAUUUGGCUUCAACCCAAAAAGCAGGCUCUCAUUUGUUGAUUCGAUGAAGGACAAAAAACCCUUUAUUUUUAUUAGAAAAGCGGAUGUCACACAGAAUGCUGCUGCUCCCACCACCACCACAACAACUGAGAAUGCUGACUCUAACUUCUCGUUGACGAACAUGUCUGGUGUUGCUGCAGCGUCUGCUUCCAAUAACAAGGAGGAGGGAUGUGACUCAGAAGAGAACAACGUGGACGUUCAGCCCAUAGUGUCCAUACCUGAGUCUGGGGAGGAUGGCGAGUAG